RNAcentral lists this ribosomal RNA (426 nucleotides) under uncultured bacterium. RNAcentral describes it as "bacterial SSU rRNA". It matches the Rfam family "Bacterial small subunit ribosomal RNA", at positions 355 to 775 of the family's 1533-position model. The record is from RNAcentral.
UAGGGAAUCUUCCGCAAUGGACGAAAGUCUGGCGGAGCAACGCCGCGUGAGUGAGGAAGGCCUUCGGGUCGUAAAGCUCUGUUGCCAGGGAAGAACAGCAUCGUGUUAACUGCACGAUGUGUGACGGUACCUGAGAAGAAAGCCCCGGCUAACUACGUGCCAGCAGCCGCGGUAAUACGUAGGGGGCAAGCGUUGUCCGGAAUUAUUGGGCGUAAAGCGCGCGCAGGCGGCAUUGUAAGUCUGUUGUUUAAACGCGGGGCUCAACCUCGCGUCGCAAUGGAAACUGCAAGGCUUGAGUGCAGAAGAGGAAAGUGGAAUUCCACGUGUAGCGGUGAAAUGCGUAGAGAUGUGGAGGAACACCAGUGGCGAAGGCGACUUUCUGGGCUGUAACUGACGCUGAGGCGCGAAAGCGUGGGGAGCAAACAG